This 224-nucleotide non-coding RNA is filed under the name unclassified sequences. Its description in RNAcentral is "RAGATH-7 RNA". It matches the Rfam family "RAGATH-7 RNA". From Rfam's summary of the family: RNA motif Associated with Genes Associated with Twister and Hammerhead ribozymes (RAGATH). The record is from Rfam by way of RNAcentral.
AUACUAUAUGAAACUUACUGGAGAUAGGUAAUGCACAACCGUCAAGAGUGUAAGGAAAUAUAGUAUAAUCCACGUGGUAGAUGCAGUUGUAGGUUCCAACUGGUGCACAUCUUAUUAGAGACAGCAACCAAGCUCGAAGUAAGCAGAGCGAAGAUAGAAAGCUAUACCUCGAUAGGCUUAAUGAGGUGCUUAACAGUCUGACACUAACUGAACAAUAAGUGUCU